This 250-nucleotide long non-coding RNA is filed under the name Fukomys damarensis (Damara mole-rat). RNAcentral describes it as "lncRNA (ENSFDAG00000025002.1)". The record is from RNAcentral. Lineage: Eukaryota; Metazoa; Chordata; Mammalia; Rodentia; Bathyergidae.
AUCCAACCAACCAUCCAGGAUCUCAGGAGCAUCCCGACAGUCGGUGGCCUCACUCUUUGCUCCCUAUCUAGUGGCUGCCAGUAGAGAGCCAAGGAAACACUCCUUUGACUGAGUCUGUCAGAACACAGGUGCAACAGUCAAAGCAGAAAGUCUGCCUUCUGAGGCUAUCGUUUAUUGAGCAUCUACAUGACUGUCACUCAGCUUGGACUCUGCAUGCACUCUCUCAGUUUCCACAAUAACCUGAGCAGGU